Molecule: transfer RNA, 65 nt
Filed under: Linaeidea aenea
Lineage: Eukaryota; Metazoa; Arthropoda; Insecta; Coleoptera; Chrysomelidae
Description: tRNA-Leu
Rfam family: tRNA
About the family: Transfer RNA (tRNA) molecules are approximately 80 nucleotides in length.
Source: RNAcentral
GUUAUUUUGGCAGAAUAGUGCAAUAGAUUUAGAAUCUAUUUAUGUAAUUUAGAUUACAGAUAAUA